UGACUCUGUACCGGUACCCCCUGUAUAUAGCCUCCACAUUGACUCUGUACCGGUACCCCCUGUAUAUAGCCUCCACAUUGACUCUGUACCGGUACCCCCCUGUAUAUAGCCUCCACAUUGACUCUGUACCAGUAGCCCCUGUAUAUAGCCUCGCAAUUGUUAUAUACUGCUGCUCCUUAAUUAUUUGAUUUCUUAUCUUAUUUUUCUUUUUUGAUGGGGGGUAUUUUCUUAAAACUGCAUAGCUAGUUAAGGGCUUGUAAGUAAGCAUUUCCCUGUAAGGACUACACCUGUUGUAUUUGGCACAUGUGAGAAAUAACAUAAAAAUUUGAUUUUGAUUUACUUCUGCACAUCGACACGGUACUGGUACUUUCUGUAUGUAGCCGUGUUAUUACCUGGUACUCCCUUUGUAUAGCCAUGUUAUUACCUCUUUCCCCUGCACAUCGACACGUUACUGGUACUUUCUGUAUGUAGCUGUGUUAUUUUCACUCAUUGUUAUUGGUUAUUCACUGUUUAUUUAUCCCUCGUUUCACUGUUUAUAUUUUAUAUUUUUAUCUUUAACUCUGCAUUGUUAGAGAAGGACCCGUAAUUAAGCAUUUCACUGUUAGUCUACACCUGUUGUUUACGAAUCAUGUGACAAAUAACAUUUAAUUUGAUUUGAGUUAGUCAUGUGUGAGUCAUACGUUUAAAACGUGGGUGGUCCCGGAUAUCGAACCCACAACCCUGGUAUUGCAUGUGCAAUGCUCUACCAACUGAGUGAUGUUUAUUUGUAAUGAGAAAGAGUACAGAUGUUGGAAUGAAAAAUUGGAUAGUGUACAGUAUUUCCUUUUCACAAAUUGAUAUGCUGUAUGCUGUAAUUGAGGACGGAGCCACUGCAGCUUCAGUUCAGGUCAGAACAUGUCUUUAUAGUCCAGUUAAAAUAUCUGUUUGAUCCAAACUGUCAAACCUCUCAGAUUUUCCCAAAGCCUUGAUGGAGGAGAGAGGGGAUCAGUUCCUCCCUAAAGCAGAGUCCUCACACCGGUGGGGGUUUUGUGACCUCUUUAAAAGGAGAACAUGAUAAAUCAGGUCUGGAACACAAUAAAAUAUGCAUUUCAGAAACCAAUUAGCCACUCUAGCUCCACCACGUCACCUGCCUGGGACGGAGAGGAGCGUUCAGUGUGUGAUAAUGCUGUGAGGAGUGGUGGGAUGGAGAGGAGCGUGUGAUAAUGCUGUGAGGAGUGGUGGGAUGGAGAGGAGCGUGUGAUAACGCUGUGAGGAGUGUUGGGAUGGAGAGGAGCGUGUGAUAAUGCUGUGAGGAGUGGUGGGAGGGAGAGGAGCGUUCAGCGUGUGAUAACGCUGUGAGGAGUGGUGGGAUGGAGAGGAGCGUGUGAUAAUGCUGUGAGGAGUGGUGGGAUGGAGAGGAGCGUGUGAUAACGCUGUGAGGAGUGUUGGGAUGGAGAGGAGCGUGUGAUAAUGCUGUGAGGAGUGGUGGGAUGGAGAGGAGCGUUCAGCGUGUGAUAACGCUGUGAGGAGUGAUGGGAUGGAGAGGAGCGUGUGAUAAUGCUGUGAGGAGUGAUGGGAUGGAGAGGAGCGUUCAGUGUGUGAUAACGCUGUGAGGAGUGGUGGGAUGGAGAGGAGCGUGUGAUAAUGCUGUGAGGAGUGGUGGGAUGGAGAGGAGCGUGUGAUAACGCUGUGAGGAGUGUUGGGAUGGAGAGGAGCGUGUGAUAAUGCUGUGAGGAGUGGUGGGAUGGAGAGGAGCGUUCAGCGUGUGAUAACGCUGUGAGGAGUGAUGGGAUGGAGAGGAGCGUGUGAUAAUGCUGUGAGGAGUGAUGGGAUGGAGAGGAGCGCGUGAUAACACUGUGAGGAGUGGUGGGAUGGAGAGGAGCGUGUGAUAAUGCUGUGAAGAGUGGUGGGAUGGAGAGGAGCGUGUGAUAACGCUGUGAGGAGUGGUGGGAUGGAGAGGAGCGUGUGAUAAUGCUGUGAGGAGUGAUGGGAUGGAGAGGAGCGUGUGAUAACGCUGUGAGGAGUGGUGGGAUGGAGAGGAGCGUUCAGCGUGUGAUAACGCUGUGAGGAGUGGUGGGAUGGAGAGGAGCGUGUGAUAAUGCUGUGAGGAGUGGUGGGAUGGAGAGGAGCGUUCAGCGUGUGAUAACGCUGUGAGGAGUGGUGGGAUGGAGAGGAGCGUGUGAUAACGCUGUGAGGAGUGGUGGGAUGGAGAGGAGUGUGUGAUAACGCUGUGAGGAGUGGUGGGAUGGAGAGGAGCGUGUGAUAAUGCUGUGAGGAGUGGUGGGAUGGAGAGGAGCGUGUGAUAACGCUGUGAGGAGUGGUGGGAUGGAGAGGAGCGUGUGAUAAUGCUGUGAGGAGUGGUGGGAUGGAGAGGAGCGUGUGAUAACGCUGUGAGGAGUGGUGGGAUGGAGAGGAGCGUUCAGCGUGUGAUAACGCUGUGAGGAGUGGUGGGAUGGAGAGGAGCGUGUGAUAACGCUGUGAGGAGUGGUGGGAUGGAGAGGAGCGUUCAGCGUGUGAUAACGCUGUGAGGAGUGGUGGGAUGGAGAGGAGCGUUCAGCGUGUGAUAAUGCUGUGAGGAGGGAUGGGAUGGAGAGGAGCGUGUGAUAAUGCUGUGAGGAGUGGUGGGAUGGAGAGGAGCGUUCAGCGUGUGUUAACGCUGUGAGGAGUGAUAUGAUGGAGGGUGAAGAGCCACCUGAACUAGAUAUUUAGUCUACUUACCAAAUGGCAUCCUAUUCUCUACAUAGUGCGCUACUUUUGACCAGAGCCCUAUGAGGAACAGGGUUCCAUUUGAG
Molecule: long non-coding RNA, 2771 nt
Filed under: Salmo salar (Atlantic salmon)
Lineage: Eukaryota; Metazoa; Chordata; Actinopteri; Salmoniformes; Salmonidae
Description: lncRNA (ENSSSAG00000085863.1)
Source: RNAcentral